GAUUGGUGCAGGAUGUAUCGCAACUUACUAAUAUUUUUCAUUUCAUUUUCCCUAAUGGUAGAUGUUACCAAAUCUGUUGUCUGUGAACCAAAUUGUUCUCUAGUUUUGUGUCGACCCAUAGAAAACUGUGAUGGUCCUAACCAGGUAAUCAAAAAACCACUAGGUGAAUGUCCAUCCUGUGACGUUUGUUACACUAUUGUGGGUGAAAAAGAAAAGUGUGGUGAAACCGAAGCAACAUUUUUUGUGUGUGAAGUAGGACUUACAUGCCAUCAUGGAAAAUGCAGGAAAAUUAAAUAACUGCUCAUAAAUGACAUUAUUAAAUAUUAGGCAACUUAACACAACAAAAAAUGAAUGGACCACGAACAUUCCCAAUUAUGACCCAAGUAACUGUUCAUUAUUUUGAAUUAAUCGUUUGUCACGGGUCCAUCAUUGUACGUGCAUUGUCCCCAUUAAAAACCAUUAGAUUUAAUAUAUUAUCUGUCGUCUGACAAUAAUUUUGAAUAAUGAUGUGCUGGUAAAGUUAUUAAUCAAUUUUUUUUUCGGCCACUAUGUGAAACUAAUUGUUGUUCGGCCCAGGUAACCCUCUGAGAGUGGCCAUCUGCUUGGAAUUCUCCCCCUGGAACUAGCAUGCAGUCGUUAAGGAUGAUGGGGUUUAUAUUGUAUUAUCAUGUAAUCGGCUCAUCUCGAGAUAAUUGUAUCUUUUCUAAUGGUAGUUUUGUACGAGAGGCUGUUACACUUAAAUAAACUAAUCAUUGUUCUCUU
This is a long non-coding RNA of Zophobas morio, 762 nucleotides long. RefSeq lists it as uncharacterized. The record is from RefSeq and is a predicted model, not a curated record. Lineage: Eukaryota; Metazoa; Arthropoda; Insecta; Coleoptera; Tenebrionidae. The transcript is spliced from 2 exons.